ACGCUAUCACUACUACGGGAGGCAGCAGUGGGGAAUAUUGCACAAUGGGCGCAAGCCUGAUGCAGCCAUGCCGCGUGUAUGAAGAAGGCCUUCGGGUUGUAAAGUACUUUCAGCAGUGAGGAAGGUGGGUAUGUUAAUAGCAUAUUCAUUUGACGUUAGCUGCAGAAGAAGCACCGGCUAACUCCGUGCCAGCAGCCGCGGUAAUACGGAGGGUGCGAGCGUUAUCCGGAAUCAUUGGGUUUAAAGGGUCCGUAGGUGGAUGAUUAAGUCAGAGGUGAAAUCCUGCAGCUCAACUGUAGAAUUGCCUUUGAUACUGGUUGUCUUGAAUUAUUGUGAAGUAGUUAGAAUAUGUGGUGUAGCGGUGAAAUGCAUAGAUAUCACAUAGAAUACCGAUUGCGAAGGCAGAUUACUAACAAUACAUUGACACUGAUGGACAGAAAGCGUGGGGAGCGAACAGGAUUAGAUACCCUGGUAG
This 475-nucleotide ribosomal RNA is filed under the name uncultured bacterium. Its description in RNAcentral is "bacterial SSU rRNA". It matches the Rfam family "Bacterial small subunit ribosomal RNA", at positions 326 to 793 of the family's 1533-position model. The record is from RNAcentral.